AGCAGCCGCGGUAAUUCCAGCUCCAAUAGCGUAUAUUAAAGUUGCUGCAGUUAAAAAGCUCGUAGUUGAAUUUCGGGACCAUCACGUCGGUCGUGCCUCGGUACGUACUGGCGUCGUUGGUUUCUCCCUUCUGACGAACCAUGAUGUCAUUAAUUUGGUGUGGCGGGGAAUCAGGACUGUUACUUUGAAAAAAUUAGAGUGUUUAAAGCAGGCUCGCGCUUGAAUACAUUAGCAUGGAAUAAUGAAAUAGGACGUUGAUCCUAUUUUGUUGGUUUCUAGGAUUGACGUAAUGAUUAAUAGGGAUAGUUGGGGGCAUUAGUAUUCAAUUGUCAGAGGUGAAAUUCUUGGAUUUAUUGAAGACUAACUACUGCGAAAGCAUUUGCCAAGGAUGUUUUCAUUAAUCAAGAACGAAAGUUAGGGGAUCGAAGACGAUCAGAUACCGUCGUAGUCUUAACCAUAAACUAUGCCGACUAGGGAUCGGAUGAUGUUAAUUUUUUAAUGACUCAUUCGGCGCCUUACG
RNAcentral lists this ribosomal RNA (520 nucleotides) under uncultured Glomus. RNAcentral's name for it is "SSU rRNA". It matches the Rfam family "Eukaryotic small subunit ribosomal RNA", at positions 569 to 1092 of the family's 1831-position model. Lineage: Eukaryota; Fungi; Glomeromycota; Glomeromycetes; Glomerales; Glomeraceae. The record is from RNAcentral.